GAGACGGGUGAGGAGGUAGUGGAUGCCGAGGAGAAGGACGGUAUAUCGUCCACAUCUUCGAUGUCAAACGAUCUCUUCAAGGCUGGAAAUAAAAAGAAUUGAAGUUGUUAGUGAUGGAUAUUACCACUCUUUGGUCUUAGAGUUUCCACCUGAUGUCUCACCUUCAUGGACACUAGACUUGCAAGUAAGAACUUCUGGAGUGCAGAGAGGAAUAAAUCACAUGCAUAAGUCUUUGGAACGCUAUUUCUCAAGGAAUGCCAACUGUUGUUUGGUCCAUAGGCUCAAACAGGAAACGUCACCCACGCAAAGGCUAAUAAAGAGUUUUGUGAGCCGUUC
This is a long non-coding RNA of Syngnathus typhle (broad-nosed pipefish), 336 nucleotides long. RefSeq lists it as uncharacterized. Lineage: Eukaryota; Metazoa; Chordata; Actinopteri; Syngnathiformes; Syngnathidae. The transcript is spliced from 2 exons. The record is from RefSeq and is a predicted model, not a curated record.